AGAGUUUGAUCAUGGCUCAGAGCGAACGCUGGCGGCGUGCUUAACACAUGCAAGUCGAGUGCGCGCCUGUAGCAAUACAGGUGGCGCACGGCGCACGGGUGCGUAACACGUGGGUAAUCUGCCCUUCGAUGGGGAAUAACUCGCCGAAAGGCGAGCUAAUUCCGCAUAACAUUCCGAGAACCUUGGUUUUUGGAUUCAGAGGCGUAAGUCGUCGGAGGAGGAGCCCGCGCACGAUUAGCUAGUUGGUGAGGUAAUGGCUCACCAAGGCUAUGAUCGUUAGCUGGUCUGAGAGGAUGGCCAGCCACACUGGAACUGAGACACGGUCCAGACUCCUACGGGAGGCAGCAGUGGGGAAUCUUGCACAAUGGGCGAAAGCCUGAUGCAGCGACGCCGCGUGGGGGAUGAAGCUUUUCGGAGUGUAAACCCCUUUCGACCCGGACGAAUGCCCCGCAAGGGGACUGACGGUACGGGUACAAGAAGCCCCGGCUAACUACGUGCCAGCAGCCGCGGUAAGACGUAGGGGGCCAGCGUUGCUCGGAAUUACUGGGUGUAAAGGGUUCGUAGGCGGUGUGGCAAGUCGGGAGUGAAAUCUCUGGGCUCAACCCAGAGUCUGCUUCCGAAACUGCUGUGCUUGAGUGUGGGAGAGGCGCGUGGAAUUGCAGGUGUAGCGGUGAAAUGCGUAGAUAUCUGCAGGAACACCCGUGGCGAAAGCGGCGCGCUGGACCACUACUGACGCUGAGGAACGAAAGCUAGGGGAGCAAACAGGAUUAGAUACCCUGGUAGUCCUAGCCCUAAACGAUCAGGACUUGGGGUGCCGCCCGUUCGGGCGUCGUCCCGGAGCUAACGCGUUAAGUCCUGCACCUGGGGAGUACGGUCGCAAGACUGAAACUCAAAGGAAUUGAC
Molecule: ribosomal RNA, 903 nt
Filed under: uncultured bacterium
Lineage: Bacteria
Description: bacterial SSU rRNA
Rfam family: Bacterial small subunit ribosomal RNA
Source: RNAcentral